GAACUCAGGGUUCUCUUCACACAAGUACAGACACAAACCCUCAAACAUUUAUCAAGUCUUAUAAAUAACAACAGAUGGAUGAGAGAGAGUAGAGGGCAUCUUGAACCAAAGGAUAAGGUAAACAAACAAACACCAAUUCAUACAAGUCAAUGGAUCAGUCACUCAAUUUCAGCACAGUUAAGAGUGGACCUAGCAGAAAGGAACUCUGACAAGCUGAGCUUCAAGAACACCUUCUGCAUAAGAACUCUGCUCACAAAUGGAAAUAAGAAGUCUGGAAAAUUGCCAGCUCCUCGCAGAAAAGGCUGAAAGAUGACGGGCAGAGAAGGAUGUUGGUGUCGGUAAGACAAAAAUGAUUGAAGUUGCAUCAUCUGUAUGAUUAAAUUCACUGUGUGAAUUUUGAUUUCCCCCCCUACUUUCAGACAUUUGAGGAUGCAGUCAAGUCAAUGGAGUUCUGUUGUAGUGGUUGCUUCAGUGAACAUUCAACGCUGUCGGCCUUAACACCGAAGAUAGCCACCUAACCAUCAUAGGAUGUUUCUCCCUCACCCUGCCAAGCUUUACAAAAAGGUCACAAUCAACAUUCAUUGCUGUCGGUGGGUUUAACUAUGUGGACAAGCUCACUGAACAAUGAAUGCAACUGUGGCCCCACAUUGUACAGUUGCUGUUGAGAGGAGCAGCAGCUCUGAAGGCAAUAGUGAGAAGGAAACGUUUCUUAUAAGCUACAGUUUUCUGGUCAGAGAAAUAGUUGGGAGUAUCCACUUUUUGCUUGCUUGGUUUUGAGUGUGUUUAACUUAGCUGACUAGAAAAGAAAACCCGCUGCCUUUUUCCGGGGAAUUGUCCUCACAGGCUUCAGUACCAAUGAAAAUGUGAAAAUUCUUAUUUAAUAUGUAUGCAGAAAAAAUAACAGGACAGGAUGCUCUGUAUAUCCACUCCUAAGGGCUGAUACAAGAGGAAAGAAUACUUAAUUGCCAUUUAACUAGGCAUUUUUGAAGAGUUCAAAAGGUUAUUUUAUGCUUGUCAUGACAAAUACAGCUGGGAACAGAUGGGAUUUAAAAGUUAUGGAUAAAAAUGUUAUAUCAAAAAAUAUUAAUUAAUUUUACAUGAAACUGAUUUUAGGAAAACAAAUAUUAUUGCAUUUGCUCUUUUUAGGGAUCUGAAAGAUGACAAAAUUAUAUCCAGAAAUAAUAAUGGAAAAGCAGUUAAAUUGUUAAGUUACUGUAAACUGAGUACCUAUGUCACACUCUGAGUUUUGUGAUGAGAAAAUAAAAAGUGCAAAUAAGCCCACA
Non-coding RNA from Sturnus vulgaris (Common starling), 1283 nucleotides. Lineage: Eukaryota; Metazoa; Chordata; Aves; Passeriformes; Sturnidae. The record is from RefSeq and is a predicted model, not a curated record.